RNAcentral lists this ribosomal RNA (492 nucleotides) under uncultured bacterium. RNAcentral describes it as "partial 16S ribosomal RNA". It matches the Rfam family "Bacterial small subunit ribosomal RNA", at positions 29 to 507 of the family's 1533-position model. The record is from RNAcentral.
AGUGAACGCUGGCGGUAGGCCUAACACAUGCAAGUCGAACGGCAGCACAGUAAGAGCUUGCUCUUACGGGUGGCGAGUGGCGGACGAGUGAGGAAUACAUCGGAAUCUACUUUUUCGUGGGGGAUAACGUAGGGAAACUUACGCUAAUACCGCAUACGGCCUACGGGUGAAAGCAGGGGAUCUUCGGACCUUGCGCGAUUGAAUGAGCCGAUGUCGGAUUAGCUAGUUGGCGGGGUAAAGGCCCACCAAGGCGACGAUCCGUAGCUGGUCUGAGAGGAUGAUCAGCCACACUGGAACUGAGACACGGUCCAGACUCCUACGGGAGGCAGCAGUGGGGAAUAUUGGACAAUGGGCGCAAGCCUGAUCCAGCCAUACCGCGUGGGUGAAGAAGGCCUUCGGGUUGUAAAGCCCUUUUGUUGGGAAAGAAAAGCAGCAGGUUAAUACCCCGCUGUUCUGACGGUACCCAAAGAAUAAGCACCGGCUAACUUCGUG